CGAGAGCCUUUGGGGAUCUUUCCCUCUGCAGGCACGCAGUUGUCGGCCACCGUGGCGCUUACCGCGUCCUGCGCCUGGCUCCUGCCGGCGGUUUUGUCCCAGGCGGCAGGGCCGGAGAGCCGCCCAGAAUUUGUGGUGACUCAUAGUUUUCAACACCUGCAAGGAGCUACCAGUGGAGACUGAUGAAGAGAUGGACACAUCCCUGCCAUUGUAGAACUUAUGGUCCAGCAGGGUGUAGAGACAAACAUUCAGGACAAUUAACUGUGAUAUUUGUCCUACUUGGGGGCUUGAAACAAGAUCAGUCAUAGAAGCAAUGACAAGAGGACACAGUUAUUUUUUGCUGGAGUAUAAAGCCUUCCAGUGAGCACUCCUGGUUUUACUACCCUCCCUGCCCAUGGUAAUAGCUACAGCUUUUUAAAGGGCCUGCUAAGGCCAGCUACUUUUUUUUGUAUUCAAUCCUCAAACCACCCUCCAAGAAGUCAUCCCACCCCACCCCAUCUAAGAGCCUGACCGGCUCUGUUCUCCCGCCAGACUCUCCCAGAUCCCCAGUGGGAAGACCUUUCUUUCAACCCUAUGCUCCACAGCUUUUGCAUUUGCCUCUAUGCCACACUGCCUUGUGUUCUACGUGCUGGUAUGAGCCACCAAUUGCAAAUAUGGGGAGAGCAGAGACUCUGUUCUAGUCAUCUGUUACCCACCACUGUAUCUAGCACAGUGCCUGGCCUGGGGCCAGAUAGAAUUGGUGGUGCGGUCACAUUUCCAGGUGAUGCUGCUUGUGCCCCAGGCCUCUUCCUGGCUUAGGAAGGAGAGUGAGGGCAGGUGGAUUCCCUUAGCCUAUUGCCUACAGAUGUCCCUCCAGGAAGGCGGGGCUGUUGUUAACCGCGGCCACAGCCUUUUGCUGUCUACCCAUAACAGGACCACUGAGACCUCUGCACAUUAAUAUGGAUAUAAACUUAAAAUACAAAAAGAGGCCUAAAUUGUGCCCUUAACAUAAUUCCAUGCAGUCCAGAUGUGCAUCUACUACUAUUUAUUUUAUAAUGCGUCAUUGUUAAUCAGAACGGGGACCCACUUUUGCCAACGCUUAGAGAUGCUGAGGUGUGGUUGGGAGAAGGAAAGCAGUGUAAAGGGUAAGGCCUGAGUCUGCUCCCUUCUACCUGUUAUCUUAGUCUUGUACUGAAUGAACAUAAAUUUUCGUGUCUAGCCACAUAACUGCUAAGAAUAUGUACCACACAAGAGAGUUGGAGAUGAGUUGCUUUUUCCAAUUUAUUCUAUAAAUGCAGUAAUCCUGACACUUUAUAUAACUAGUUGAAAUAGUGCGUGCAUGGAAAUAAAACACAUAUUUACUUUAUUUUAGAAUAUCAGCAAAAUGGAAUAUCUGUGUUUUGGGUUGUUUGUUGUUGAUUUCACUUUUUCUUUGCAAUUAUUCCAAGUUAUCGAAUGGUUAUAAAUAAAAAUUUUG
Zalophus californianus (California sea lion) is the source of this 1456-nucleotide long non-coding RNA. RefSeq lists it as uncharacterized. Lineage: Eukaryota; Metazoa; Chordata; Mammalia; Carnivora; Otariidae. The transcript is spliced from 4 exons. The record is from RefSeq and is a predicted model, not a curated record.